Molecule: ribosomal RNA, 169 nt
Filed under: uncultured bacterium
Lineage: Bacteria
Description: partial 16S ribosomal RNA
Rfam family: Eukaryotic small subunit ribosomal RNA
Source: RNAcentral
CCUACGGGAGGCAGCAGGCGCGCAAAUUACCCAAUCCUGACACGGGGAGGUAGUGACAAUAAAUAACAAUACUGGGCGCUUUAGUGUCUGGUAAUUGGAAUGAGUACAAUCUAAUCCCCUUAACGAGAAACCAUUGGUGGGCAAGUCUGGUGCCAGCAGCCGCGGUAAU